This 334-nucleotide unclassified non-coding RNA is filed under the name soil metagenome. RNAcentral's name for it is "partial contains 5.8S ribosomal RNA, internal transcribed spacer 2, and large subunit ribosomal RNA". The stretch from base 1 to 120 matches the Rfam family "5.8S ribosomal RNA", at positions 35 to 154 of the family's 154-position model. The record is from RNAcentral.
GAUGAAGAACGCAGCGAAAUGCGAUAAGUAAUGUGAAUUGCAGAAUUCAGUGAAUCAUCGAAUCUUUGAACGCACAUUGCGCCCGCCAGUAUUCUGGCGGGCAUGCCUGUUCGAGCGUCAUUUCAACCAUCAAGCCCCCGGGCUUGUGUUGGGGACCUGCGGCUGCCGCAGGCCCUGAAAAGCAGUGGCGGGCUCGCUGUCACACCGAGCGUAGUAGCACACUUUCUCGCUCCGGUAGCAGCGGCGGGCGCCUGCCGUAAAACCCCUAUCUCAAGGUUGACCUCGGAUCAGGUAGGAAUACCCGCUGAACUUAAGCAUAUCAAUAAGCGGAGGA